Long non-coding RNA from Otolemur garnettii (small-eared galago), 3518 nucleotides. RefSeq lists it as uncharacterized. The transcript has 6 exons. NCBI's taxonomy places the organism in Eukaryota, Metazoa, Chordata, Mammalia, Primates, Galagidae. The record is from RefSeq and is a predicted model, not a curated record.
GUCCAUCCACAUUCUAUAGGUACAUGUCUACCUGAGUGAAAGCUCAUUGACUCUAUAUUACUGUAUAAUGGUGGAAAUGCCAUCAUCUUUUCAGUGCUUAAUGUUCUGACGUCACGGCCAUAUCUAAAAGUAACAUGAAGCAUCGUCACCAUUUUGGAUUUGGUCACAGCCAUAGCUUGAACAUGAAUCACCAUGAAGGUGGCUAUUUUAGUUGCUGAGACUGAGACCCAUGAACCAAAUCCCUACUCCUAAGAAGUAUUGCUUUUAAAAUGGAACUUUAUUUUGGUUCUUUUGAAUUGAUAUAAAAGCUAGAAUAAGGAGGGUUCCAGAUAUGUAAACUAGAAAUAUAUGGCCCUUCCAUACAAGAAGGGACCUGGCUUUGAUUCCCAGAUCUACUAAGCUUUUAUAUCUGCCUUGUUGUCGUUACAGUUUUCAAAUGCAUAUCUUUGUCUUUUGUGUGCACAUUUUUGGGGUCAUGUAGCUGGGAUUGGAGAAACCCACACUAUUUCGCCCAGUGCCCUUCAGACCACUCACCCACAGAGGAGCCGUAGGAAGUCAGGCUGGGAGACCUGCCCUCUAACAUUAGUUUCCAGCAAAUUUACAUGGUUCAGAGGGGUAGAAUUUUUCUUCUUAUCUGUACCAUAAUCUGUUGGCUUGAAUUAUGAGUCACAGAAGAAUGAAGACUUCUUUAGCUGUGAAAGUUUCAGCAAGAAUAAAUGUUAGACCUAUGGCAUUAGUUUAAUGCAAAAUAAGAUAGCAUUUAAAGAUAGUCUCUGCUCCAGCAUCAUAUUGACAAUGCCCCUCACUUGAGUCAGGGAUUGGGGACUGACUGAGAUGCACCAUCUGGCAAAAUACGGAAGGCCAGUCUUGUGCCAACUGAGAAAGCUGCAUCAGUUCCAACUCUGUGUACUUUGCACGUUAUUGGAUGCCUUGCAAACGUUUAUCACUUUUUAAUUAGGAAGGGCUAAGGGAUUUUAGUAUCCCAAAGAACAUGUCAGCAACCCAAAGAUAGAAAAACUAUCCAAUGGAUCAUAAGAGGCGAUAAGUAUUUAACUUCGAGCUUGCACAGGAAAUGAGGACAGUUUCAUACUAGGAUCUUUCUUGGAUGAUGUGAGGGUGGUAUGUCCUUGAUCUGUCUGGAUGGAACAGGAGAUCUGGUCUUUCUGUUAUCGUGACAGUUCCUGAGCUUGUUUCUUCUGCAGCCUGGCCAGUCUCUGAAAGCAUAUGCCAAGAGAUCAACUCUGCUCUGCUUCUUAGCCUAUCAUGUAAACCGUGGCCUGUCAUGUUCGUUAAAAUGAAAAUUUGUCGAAUGGAAUUUGCCCGACUGGCAGAAUAGUUUAAAUGUCAGAUGUUGUUAGGCCUGGAUAUAAAUAUUAUGUUUCUAUUGUUAAUUAAUUGCAGUGCCUCAGUACCAGUGAUCCAAAAUCCAAUUUAGUCUGCAAUAGGCCUGUGGAUAAGGGCCAGAGAUAAUGAAUGCAGAGGGAAAAAUGUAUUCAGAAUUUCCAUUGUAUCUGUCAAUGUCCUCUUAGGAAAACAGCAAAUUUUGAUGUGUCACUAUAGUUCAAGAGGGGCGAAACAGUGCAGAAUUAAGACUCAUUGUCUUUUGAAACCUUCAAAUGUUACUUACUAUUGAAUCUAUUCCACUGCGAGCCCUGAGUCCAUUCCAACAUCAAAAUUUCUGAUACAUACCGUCCUGCUCCCUUCCCUUGAUUUCCUGCCAUGCUUUGCACCCCUGAUCUGUUGUUCUGUUCAUGGCUCAUUUCAGAGUUGUGGGACUGAGGUGUCUAGUCUUGCAAUCCUCCUUCACAGCGUUCACUGUUCUCUUUUUGUUUGGCCAUCAACCUUUCCAUUCCUUUUCUUCCCAUCCUUUGUUUUGGUCCCCAGGCUCAGCAGCCUGUCUGUCAAGUCUGCCACUGUUUGUUAAGAUCAUUUUGCUUCCAAAUUGAGCUGGUAGCUGAAUAUCACUCGAGAUAAUGCUGCUAGAACUGUCUGCAUUAGAAAAGGAAGCAGAACUCUUGCCGCUGGUGCCCAGACCUCAGAGCUGACUGUUGUUGCAAAGCCGUGAGCCAGCAGGCAUUUGUGACCGCCAUUCUCAACCAAUAUUUUGUGGAAAGCUUGCUGUGAGCAUGGCAUCUUACCUGGCCAGCUCCCUGGUGGUGGGGGUGCCAGGCAGAGGAGGACUAAUUAAGACUUUGGAAGGCAGGACUAACGUGUUCCAGUGGUCAGGGAACCUCAUUUAAUUCCUGGCAUCCUGGUUGGUGCCAACCUCGUUCUGCCCCUGCGAUUAUGCCAGCCGAGAAGCAGAGAAGGGAAGAUGAACUUUGGUCUGCUCUGAGCUUCCCUGUCCAGCAGUGUUUGUCAGAUUAAAAAUGAGAGGGAACGAGGCCAGAGAAUCUUCCAGAUGGAGAGUUCAGAGGAGGGCACAACCAGACUCCCUCUCCACAGUGAUGUUGCCGGGCCAUCCGCGUGGUGGGCUGGGAGCCAGGAGCACAGGCUGCCGCCUGACCCUGCGGGGGAGUGAGGGCCUGGCAGAACGGUCACCCUUGGCUCAGGGUGGAGGCAGAGUCAAACCAGGCACACGCAGGCCACGUGGCCAAGGGAGAGCAUUUCCUCCAGGGUUGGGUCAGUCGGGUCUGACGUUGGGCCCCUCCUUCUGGACUCCGCUUGAGGGCGCUUCCCCCAAGUCGCAAGGGAGUAGAGUUGGCAGCUGCAGAAACCAAAUGGGGAGUUGAUGUUUUCCAACCUCCCUGUUUUCCUCCUUUAGAAUGAGGCAACCGUGCGGGAAAGGUGACCUUAGUCAGGCUGGAGGCAGCAGUAACAGCGGUGGCCCCGUGUCCUUGGACUGACUCGCGUGGACAGCAGUUCCAGGCAGCAGGGGGUUGGUGAGGCCACAGUGCACUGGCAGUGGCUCUCCGUGCCUCUUGGUAGCACGACUUAAUAACUCGUCUCUGCGCUCAUUGAACAGUAUCCAGUGUGGAUGCUCUAGGAAUAGGGCUUUGCUCAAAUGAGAACUUUUUAAAAGACUAAGGUCAUCUGAGGCCUAUGCAGGGAUGGAAAGCUUUGAAGCUCAGCAAAGAAGGGAAGUCCAUUGAGAACAGUCUGUAAAGGAACCCUUCAUCUAAUAGGAUUAUCUAAGGGGACAGAGUAGAGGAAACGUCAAGUGAGAGAGGAAGAAGCAUGGCCUAUGUAUCCAGACCACUCCUAAGACGGAUUCUUCAGUGCCUUGAACAAAGAUCCUAUUGCUGCAGUGAACCUGAACCUGGUGUUAUUUGGUAAAAAUGACCUCAAAAAUCAAAUGUCAUUGAAGUGUUAACAGUCCCAUCGUUCUGGGAGGUCUCCCUGGGCCCAGGAAGAAAUGGCUUUCGUGAAUAUCCAGGCGUGCUUGGGGAUCUGCCAUGUAAGAGCUGUCAGGACACAGUCUUUGAAAGAAUGGGUCAGGAAAGCAACAUUUGAAAGCUGUGAACAUUCGAAGCAUUUGGCAGGUUGCAAUCCAGACAUGCUGAAUGGUCUGCCUUCCC